GAUGAAGAACGUAGCGAAAUGCGAUAAGUAAUGUGAAUUGCAGAAUUCCGUGAAUCAUCGAAUCUUUGAACGCACCUUGCGCCCUUUGGCCAUUCCGAAGGGCAUGCCUGUUUGAGUAUCAUGAACACCUCAACUCUUUAUGGUUUUCCAUGAUGAGCUUGGACUCUGGGGGUUUUGCUGGCUCACAGUCGGCUCCUCUAAAAUGAAUCAGCUUACCAGUGUUUGGUGGGUAUCAUGGGUGUGAUAACUAUCUACGCUUGUGGUUUUUCCACCAGGUAACCUUCAGCAGUGGAGGUUCGCUGGAGCUCAUAGAUGUCUCUCCUCAGUGAGGACAGCCCUUUGAAUGUUUGAUCUCAAAUCAGGUAGGACUACCCGCUGAACUUAAGCAUAUCAAUAAGCGGAGGA
This 405-nucleotide unclassified non-coding RNA is filed under the name soil metagenome. RNAcentral's name for it is "partial contains 5.8S ribosomal RNA, internal transcribed spacer 2, and large subunit ribosomal RNA". The stretch from base 1 to 121 matches the Rfam family "5.8S ribosomal RNA", at positions 35 to 154 of the family's 154-position model. The record is from RNAcentral.